GGGGAAUUUUGGACAAUGGGCGCAAGCCUGAUCCAGCAAUGCCGCGUGUGUGAAGAAGGCCUUCGGGUUGUAAAGCGCUUUUGUCCGGAAAGAAAAGCUUCGGGUUAAUACCCCGGGGUUCUGACGGUACCGGACGAAUAAGCACCGGCUAACUUCGUGCCAGCAGCCGCGGUAAUACGACGGGUGCAAGCGUUACUCGGAAUUACUGGGCGUACAGCGUGCGUAGGUGGUUGUUUAAGUCUGAUGUGAAAGCCCUGGGCUCAACCUGGGGAUGGCAUUGGAAACUGGGCAGCUAGGGGGCGGUAGAGGGUAGUGGAAUUCCCGGUGUAGCAGUGAAAUGCGUAGAGAUCGGGAGGAACAUCUGUGGCGAAGGCGACUGCCUGGACCAGCACUGACACUGAGGCACGAAAGCGUGG
Molecule: ribosomal RNA, 416 nt
Filed under: uncultured bacterium
Lineage: Bacteria
Description: bacterial SSU rRNA
Rfam family: Bacterial small subunit ribosomal RNA
Source: RNAcentral